GGUGGCUCAGUGGUAGAGCUCAUGCCUUGUAUGCCAGAGGCCCUGGGUUCAAUUCCCCAGCACCA
Non-coding RNA from Dipodomys ordii (Ord's kangaroo rat), 65 nucleotides. NCBI's taxonomy places the organism in Eukaryota, Metazoa, Chordata, Mammalia, Rodentia, Heteromyidae. The record is from Rfam.